This is an RNA transcript of Prunus avium (sweet cherry), 2181 nucleotides long. RefSeq lists it as uncharacterized. The record is from RefSeq and is a predicted model, not a curated record. Lineage: Eukaryota; Viridiplantae; Streptophyta; Magnoliopsida; Rosales; Rosaceae.
UCUCUCUCUCUCUCUCUCUCUCUCUCUCUCUCACCUAUAAACACCGCCGCCUCUCUUUCCUCUCUCCGCUUCGUGUUUUAAAGUUUUGUUACCGGAAGAAGUGGUUGUGGAUCGGGUCCGAUCGGCUCAGAUCGAACAAAAUCAAAUGGCUGUGAGUAUGGUGUCGCCGGGGUUUAAGCCGCGGCCGGGGUUUAAGCCGCUGCUGACGUUUAAGCGGCCGCCGGGGUUUAAGCCGCCGCCGAUCGAUAUCAAGAAGUCAAAAGUGGCGAGGCUCAUUAAAGCGGAGUUGAAGGAGAUGCAAUCCAAUCCCUCCAACGAUUUCAAGUGCCUCGCGCUCGAGGAUAACCCAUAUGACUGGCAAUUUGCAAUCAGAGGCCUUAAUGGAACUGAAUUCGAGGGUGGAAUUUAUCAUGGCCAGAUGCAGUUUCCGGUGGAAUACCCAAACCAACAUCCUAUAUUCACGUUGUUGACGGAAAAUGGUCUCUUCAAAACUCACACCGGGAUCAAUUUGAACCAUAAUUUUGGGGAGCCAUUCACUGUGCGACGUGCUUUACUUGAACUUAUUGAUUUAUUGCACACCCACCCAAAUGGUGCAUUGGGUUCAGUACUAGAAGUAGAACACAAUAAGGAAGUAAGGCGUGCCCUGGCCAUCAAAUCUCGUGCAGCAGCUCCAAAAUAUGGCACUACUGAACGUCAGAAGUUAAUUGAUGAGAUUCAUGAAUAUAUGCUCAGCAAGGAAUCCCCUCUUCCUUCAAACAGGGGAGGGGAUAUCCGGGUGAGUUCCCAAACUGAUCGAGACAGUAGAAAGUGGGCAGGAUUUCCAGUGGUGACGACGAUCAUUCAACAGGAGUUGGAGGAGAUGCAAUCCAAUCCCUCUGACGAUUUCAAGUGCCUCGCGCUCACGGGGAACCCAUAUGACUGGCAAUUUGCAAUCAAAGGCCCUAAUGGAACUGAUUUCGAGGGUGGAAUUUAUCAUGGCCGGAUCCAGUUUCCGGUGGAAUACCCAAACCAGCAUCCUAUAUUCACGUUGUUGACGGAAAAUGGUCGCUUCAAAACCCAAACCGAGAUCAAUUUGAACCAUAAUUUUGGGGAGCCAUUCACUGUGCGAAGUACUUUACUUAAACUUAUUGAGUUAUUGCCCACCUACCCAAAUGGUGCAUUGGUUUCAGUAGAAUACGAUAAGAAAGAAAGGCAUGCCCUGGCCGUCAAAUCUCGUGAAGCAGCCCCAAGAUAUGGGACUGCUGAACGACAGAAGUUAAUUGAUAAGAUUCAUGAAUAUAUGCUAAGCAAGGUACCCCAUGUUCCUUCAAACGGGGGAGGGGAUAUCCGGGUGAGUUCCCAAAAUGAUCGAGACAGAAGACAGCAGGACAUAGUUACCCAAAAAAGAAAAAGAAAGCAGGGCAACUUUUUCUUUUUUUGGAAUACAAUUAAUGCUGACAACUGCAAGCGGGCAGGAUUUUUCGAUUUUGGGAAGAAGCUCAAAAGCCUAUGGUGAUGGUAAAGUUCGUUGUCAUUAUAAAUUUACUUUUAAUAAUUAUUUUGUGAUUAUAAAUUUCGUUGUCAACAUGUGAGAGGAGAUAGUGACAAAUCCCCUUUUCUUUUCCAUGCUUGAGAGAUAGUAUAAUAUUGCUUGUAUCUAAAAAGAAAGCUGGUAGGAAGUAGGAAUUUGAGAAUUUGAGAAUAACUGCUCCAAGAAAGCAAAACAAGUCGUCUCCAGUAGAGAAACCAGCUCGACUUCCAGAGAAGACAACCAAGAGUGAUGAACUGAGGAGCCCAACACGUGUUUGCUAAUUGUUUUAAGCUCAAAAUUGUGAAUGUGUUUUCCACAGUGCUUACGUACAAAUAAUCUUCCUAUGUCCUUUCCCCUCCCCGAUAAUCUUUCAAAUUCAAAUAGAGAAAUUAUUGGUACUUGGCACCCGAAACCAGCUCGACUUCCAGAGAAGACAGCCAAGAGUGAUGAACUGAUCGGUGAUCUGAAGUGUAGCCCCCUUUUUAUUUUUUUUACAGGCAUGCUGCCGAUUUAGGAUUGUUACCACCACAAUGAUUCGUGGUGUAAAAGUUUCAAAAAUCCUCGAUUUUGCAGGUUUAGUUGGUUUGGGCUUGACCCCAAUGUUAGUUUUUUCCAAAAAGCUAAAUAGCAGUUUUUAAAGCAGGCCAGCCAUAAAGCCAUUUCGUUUUACA